GCAAGUACAGGUACCAACUUUCGACUAACUAAUAUAGGCAUUUAUUUACAACCCUAAUUCUUGUGCUUUUUCUUGGCUUCUUAUUCUUCUUUAGUCUGACCUUUAACAACAUUAAUCCUUUUUCUCAGGUUGUGUAAUGUAAUCAUGAAGACUUUGCUCGUUGCUUCUGUUGCUCUUCUGUUGGUUAUUGGAUCUCUUGAAGCAAAUGCCAAGAGGGUUUUUUUCCAUGGCCGUCAGCUUCUGAAUGAUGCAAAUCCUAGCCGAAAAGUUACCACUGGUCCUAACCACAAAAGAGCUGCUCCUGCGGUUCAAGUUGAUCAAGUUAAUGAUGACGAUGAUGAUCCGGAUUCUGGAUCAGAUUCCCACCGCUAUUACCCAUGCGAGCAGCGCAACUGCAAGAAGACAUGACUGUGAUGGCAUUUGCACGACAGCUUCGAAGAUUGCGUGAAAUUGAGCGCUUGUAAUAACGUUAGAUGAACUCCCAAGUGUCCAAAAAAAUGUGUAACAUACUACUAUCGUACCAGCAUAACAGCUGGACUUGUCAGUUUCCCGUUAAAAAGUAUUAAUUUGUCUGUUUAAGAUUUGUAAUAAAUCUUGGCUGUGUUGCUGCUUCUCGUGCGUA
RNAcentral lists this long non-coding RNA (622 nucleotides) under Coffea arabica (coffee). RNAcentral's name for it is "long non-coding RNA (CARA_LNC006798)". Lineage: Eukaryota; Viridiplantae; Streptophyta; Magnoliopsida; Gentianales; Rubiaceae. The record is from RNAcentral.